Molecule: ribosomal RNA, 1354 nt
Filed under: uncultured bacterium
Lineage: Bacteria
Description: bacterial SSU rRNA
Rfam family: Bacterial small subunit ribosomal RNA
Source: RNAcentral
AGAGUUUGAUCCUGGCUCAGGACGAACGCUGGCGGCGUGCUUAACACAUGCAAGUCGAGCGGGGAUAUUGACUUCGGUUGAUAUUCUAGCGGCGGACGGGUGAGUAACGCGUGAACAAUCUGUCCCAGACAGGGGGAUAACACUUGGAAACAGGUGCUAAUACCGCAUAAGCCCUAAGGGGGAAAGAUUUAUCGCUAAAUGAUCGGCCCGCGGUAGAUUAGGUAGUUGGUGGGGUAAAGGCUUACCAAGCCUACGAUCUAUAGCUGGUCUGAGAGGACGACCAGCCACAUUGGGACUGAGACACGGCCCAAACUCCUACGGGAGGCAGCAGUGAGGAAUAUUGGGCAAUGGGGGGAACCCUGACCCAGCCAUGCCGCGUGAGUGAUAAGGUCUUCGGAUUGUAAAGCUCUUUCGGAUGUGAAGAUGAUGACGGUAGCAUCUAAAGAAGCCCCGGCAAACUUCGUGCCAGCAGCCGCGGUAAUACGAAGGGGGCGAGCGUUGUUCGGAAUUACUGGGCGUAAAGGGUGUGUAGGCGGAUAUGUAAGAUAGUGGUGAAAUGCCAGAGCUCAACUUUGGAACUGCCAUUAUAACUAUGUAUCUAGAGUGAUGAAGAGGAUAGCGGAAUACCCAGUGUAGAGGUGAAAUUCGUAGAUAUUGGGUAGAACACCGGUGGCGAAGGCGGCUAUCUGGGCAUCAACUGACGCUGAGGCACGAAAGCAUGGGGAUCAAACAGGAUUAGAUACCCUGGUAGUCCAUGCUGUAAACGAUGAAUGCUUGAUGUCGGCCAAGGGUCGGUGUCGGAGUUAACGCGAUAAGCAUUCCGCCUGGGGAGUACGGCCGCAAGGUUAAAACUCAAAGGAAUUGACGGGGACCCGCACAAGCGGUGGAGCAUGUGGUUUAAUUCGAUGCAACGCGAAGAACCUUACCAACUCUUGACAUCCUUAUCGCGGAGAUUGGAGACAAUUUCUAUCAGUUAGGCUGGAUAAGUGACAGAUGCUGCAUGGCUGUCGUCAGCUCGUGUCGUGAGAUGUUGGGUUAAGUCCCGCAACGAGCGCAACCCCUGCGAUCAGUUGCCAUCAGGUAAAGCUGGGCACUCUGAUUGGACUGCCGGUGACAAGCCGGAGGAAGGUGGGGAUGACGUCAAGUCAUCAUGGCUCUUACGAGUUGGGCUACACACGUGCUACAAUGGCGCUUACAGAGGGGAGCGAGGCAGUGAUGCUGAGCAAAUCUUAAAAAAGCGUCUCAGUUCAGAUUGUACUCUGCAACUCGAGUACAUGAAGUUGGAAUCGCUAGUAAUCGCAGAUCAGCAUGCCGCGGUGAAUACGUUCCCGGGUCUUGUACUCACCGCCCGUCA